Molecule: transfer RNA, 71 nt
Filed under: Cordylochernes scorpioides
Lineage: Eukaryota; Metazoa; Arthropoda; Arachnida; Pseudoscorpiones; Chernetidae
Description: tRNA-Glu
Source: RNAcentral
UGUCCAAUGCGGGAAUCGAACCCGGGUCCUAGUGGUCGAAAGCCAAACGGUUUAACCAGCCUUCGACCGAC